GGGGAUAUAGCUCAGUUGGUAGAGCGUCUCGUUCGCAAUGAGAAGGUCAGGGGUUCGAACCCCCUUAUCUCCA
This 73-nucleotide transfer RNA is filed under the name Verrucomicrobium sp. GAS474. It matches the Rfam family "tRNA". From Rfam's summary of the family: Transfer RNA (tRNA) molecules are approximately 80 nucleotides in length. Lineage: Bacteria; Pseudomonadati; Verrucomicrobiota; Verrucomicrobiia; Verrucomicrobiales; Verrucomicrobiaceae. The record is from Rfam by way of RNAcentral.